AGUUUAAGAACCACUAAUAGAGAAUCCUUCCAAGGAAUCCUUCGAUUUUUAUACUUAACCGAGAAGAAAAUAUAUAAUAGUUUCUUUACUGAAAUUUCAAAUCACUUUGUAGAAGAAAGCGCUGCCGAGUUGGAGAAAAUUGGCGUAUAGUUUGUACUUGUUUGUCUAUGCUGUAAAUUUUUGUGUAAACUGCUAUAAUUUUUUUUCAAUUAGUCAUAAAUUAUUUUGUACCCUCAAAAAGUCUACUUUAAUUUGGAGCUGUAACUUGCUAUCGUGUAUCACAAACACUUGCUUGUAUAGGAUGAAAAUAAAUUAAGUAAACUCGAAAAAAAGUACAUACAAUCCAAAAAAAAACUUGUUAAAUUUCUAACCUGCUUGCAGUUUUCCCACAUUCACCGCAAAAUAAUGAAAUCCAGGGCAAAUAAAACCGCCGAGAUUCCCAUCGCCGGAUUGAGAUCGGGUCAGGUAGCCGAUCUUUAGGGGCACAAAACAAUUAGCCAGGCCCACAAAAUGAUACACAAACAGAGCGCAAAUUGGGCAGCCACUUGUCCGACCUCAAAGCGAAAGCGCCGCCAAUUCAAGCGGACUAACAAGGACCUCAUAAUCAUGCCCAUGCCCAUGCCCUUGCCCGUUCCCAACUGAUCCGAGCCAGAAAUAAACACAAAUAUUGACGUAGCCUAUCGCACGCGAUCUACGCUCCCCUCCGCUCCUCCCCAGGAAUAUGGAAUAUGGCCAGAGAUCAGAGGCCUCGACCGCUGACCAAUUCGAGAUGACUUGGCAAGUUGGCAACUCCGAAUUAUUUCAAUCUGAUGACGCGGCUCCUUUCGGGCGGUGGCAUGAUAAAAAGCUGGCGAUAAACCGCUUGAUGCUCAGUAGUUUAAAAAGGGAAAUAUAGGGCGGUAUUGAGCCUUAAAGGAAAGUGAUUAGA
This is a long non-coding RNA of Drosophila gunungcola (fruit fly), 928 nucleotides long. RefSeq lists it as uncharacterized. NCBI's taxonomy places the organism in Eukaryota, Metazoa, Arthropoda, Insecta, Diptera, Drosophilidae. The record is from RefSeq and is a predicted model, not a curated record. The transcript is spliced from 3 exons.